Molecule: transfer RNA, 74 nt
Filed under: Ictidomys tridecemlineatus (thirteen-lined ground squirrel)
Lineage: Eukaryota; Metazoa; Chordata; Mammalia; Rodentia; Sciuridae
Description: Spermophilus tridecemlineatus (thirteen-lined ground squirrel) tRNA
Rfam family: tRNA
About the family: Transfer RNA (tRNA) molecules are approximately 80 nucleotides in length. Their secondary structure includes four short double-helical elements and three loops (D, anti-codon, and T loops).
Source: Rfam by way of RNAcentral
GGGCAUAUAGCUCAGAUGAUAAGAGUGCUUGCCUCGAAUGCACAAAGCCCUGGGUUCAAUCCCCAGCACCCCCA